Molecule: long non-coding RNA, 750 nt
Organism: Pieris brassicae (large cabbage white)
Lineage: Eukaryota; Metazoa; Arthropoda; Insecta; Lepidoptera; Pieridae
Exons: 2
Source: RefSeq, a predicted model, not a curated record
AAAACAAUGCCAGUUAAUAAGCGUUUGUACUUUAUUUUUAUUACAAUACUAUUUAUUUCGAGAACUAAAUGUUCUAAAUAUCACUACGAAAGGGCUGAAGCGGAACUGAUACGACCCAACAAAGGGAAGAUAAGUAAUUGGUUUUGUGAACAACUAUGUUAUAAUUAUGGUUGGAAUGAGGGACAAUGCCUAGAUCCCAAGUGGUGUUUAUGCUAUGACUAAGGCAGAAUAGUAUAUACAACUUUUUGCCAUUAAAAGACUUUAAGCUUUGCAAUUGAAUUUAAUGUUAAGGGAAUACACUCUUAGGUUAAGGGAAUACAUUCUUAAAUUGCUUUAGUAUUAUUAUCAGAGGACCUCCUUGAUUUAGUGGUCAAUUAACAUAUGUUAUUACUUGUAUCUAAUUAUCUGUGAAGUAAAAAUUACUUCAGAUUCAAAGGCACAUAGUUGAUCUGAUCAGAAUACAUUGAAACAACACUAUAUAUAUACUUCUCUUUGCCUCAUAGCAGGAACUUUGGCCAGUAUAAGCAUGCCAACAAAUAUAUUCAAUACUUCUUACCUAUUACACUGAAUAAAUACAAUAUUCCAUAUCUCAGUAAGGCUUCCAUCAGGAUGUAUGUAAUGAAUCUCUGUACAUGGUCCACAUGGACCACUCACACCCAUCUCCCAGAAAUUGUCCUUUGCACCACAGUCUUUGAUAUGACCUUCCUUGACCCUGAAUUUUAAAAACAAUAAAGGACUAGUGACAAGUUA